CUGGUUGAUCCUGCCAGUAGUCGUAUGCUUGUCUCAAAGACUAAGCCAUGCAUGUCUAAGUAUAAGUGUUAUACAGCGAAACUGCGAAUGGCUCAUUAAAACAGUUAUAGUUUAUUUGAUAAUCGAAUUUACAUGGAUAACCGUGGUAAUUCUAGAGCUAAUACAUGCUGGUAUGCCCGACUUUUGCGGAAGGGCGGUAUUUAUUAGAUAACAAGCCAAUAUUCCUCUGGUCUAUUGUGGUGACUCAUAAUAACUGAUCGAAUCGCAAGGCCUUUGGCCGCGAUAAAUCAUUCAAGUUUCUGCCCCAUCAGCUUUCGAUGGUAGUGUAUUGGACUACCAUGGCGUUUACGGGUAACGGAGGAUUAGGGUUCGAUUCCGGAGAGGGAGCCUGAGAAACGGCUACCACAUCUAAGGAAGGCAGCAGGCGCGUAAAUUACCCAAUCCUGACUCAGGGAGGUAGUGACAAGAAAUAACGGACCGGUUCCUUCGGAUUCGGGAUUGCAAUGAGCCGAAUUUACACCCCUUAGCGAGGAUCGAUUGGAGGGCAAGUCUGG
RNAcentral lists this ribosomal RNA (554 nucleotides) under uncultured eukaryote. RNAcentral describes it as "SSU rRNA". It matches the Rfam family "Eukaryotic small subunit ribosomal RNA", at positions 4 to 564 of the family's 1831-position model. The record is from RNAcentral.